This 12795-nucleotide long non-coding RNA is filed under the name Ananas comosus (pineapple). Its description in RNAcentral is "long non-coding RNA (ACOM_LNC010761)". Lineage: Eukaryota; Viridiplantae; Streptophyta; Magnoliopsida; Poales; Bromeliaceae. The record is from RNAcentral.
CAAGAGCAUGUUUUGAUAUAUCCUACCGACCGGCUCUAGAACAAGUGACAAAGGGCUUGGUGGUUGGUAUCCGAGACCUAAGUUCGAAUCCUAGUUGAUUCACAUUUCUAGCUAAGUUUAUUUCUAAAUGAAAUAAAUGAAGCGGGUAGCGUGCUACUUAUCCCUCAAAAAAAAAAAAAAAAAAGCUCUCAGCAUCCUCCUGCAUUUGCAUCAAAUUGUUUCUGUUGAUACUUAAUUUAACCUUCUUUGUUUUGGUUAACUGGGUUGGUUUACAUGAUCUCUUCUUUGCAAUGUCACGUAAUUUUUCUUUCCUGGAAUAUUAUUAUUUUCUACUGCCAUAAACUAAUUCCCUGCAAUAUCUUGUUGUUAGCAAGUUUCAUCUUCUUCAUUACUUGCUUUUGCUAGCCCACUUAUGACUUCUCUCCCUGGUUUAGUCAUGGCAUGUGUUCUCUUAGUACAGAUGCUAUGUUCUCUCUGCAUAUUCUUCUCAAUUUUUAAUAUUCGUCGAAUUUCUCACAUUUUCGAUGAAGAAGCACGCAUCUGAAUCGACAAUCAACACCGUUUGAUAUGAUAUACGAUAUUGAAAUUUUCUUAUCCGGUGAUUAAGUGAUCUAAAAUAUACCUUAUAUUUGCUGUUCAAAAUUAAUAAUUUUGUGAUCGUUUGAUUUUUAGAAAGUUCAUGUACCGUAAAUCAUGCUUAACGGUGUCAACUAUCGAUUCAAAUGUUCUAUUAUCGAAAACAAUAUGGAGAAUUGAAGGGUUGAUACUCAUUUUUUAAUUUUUUUUAAAAAUAUAAUUUCUAAAAGAAAUAGAGUAGGAAGGGAAGGUGAAUUGCUCACAAUUCUUACCUCCAAAAGGUUUGUCUGACAAUAAAAAAUAAAAUCCUGGAAAGCCGGAAGCAACUUUUUUUUUUUGCUUUUAUUUUUUUAAGAAAAAAUGUUAUCCAUCACAUGACUGAAGUGUCUCGCAAACUAAUAAACUAUAACAAUAAAAAGAUAGUUCUUCUUCCAUUCUAUCAAAUUACGCCGAAGUAGUGUGUUUUUUUUUUUUUUUGAGAGAGAUAGCCAGAUAGGUAGCACGCUACCUGUUUCGUUUAUUUCAUUUAGAAAUAAACUUAGCUGAAAAUAUGAAGCAAUUAGGAUUCGAACUUUGGACCUCGGGUACCAACCAAAGAUCAAUGGCAACAUUGCCUGAGCAUUUCUAAUUUUUCAUACAAUUUGCGACAUUUUCAAUUUCAUAACCUUUGAGAACAAAAACUUGUAGUUAGAACUUAGAACCCCACCUCAAUUCCAACUUCCAAGUGAGAGCAGGCCCAACCGGGCCGGGCCCGGGCGCAACGGCUAAGGUUUAGUUUAUUGGAUUGGGCUAGAGUUCUGGCCCGACCCGUUUGUGAUUAACCCUACUAUCAUAGAUCCUAUUAUCUGAAUUACAGUGAUGAUAAGUAUGAAAUUGAUUUUGCAGAAGUGGCACUAGCGCUUGUUUUUCUUUACAUUCACUUUUAGUAGGCAUGCUAAGCAAAUAAAUAUAUCUGGAGCGCUGGCAACGGUGGUGAGCUGAAAUAAACUUCUGCGUCUUAAAAAUAGAAACAACAAUUUGGAGCUGCUUCUAACUUUACUGUAGACGAAAGCCGUUGAUAAAAUUUCAUCUUAGUGCUCUUCUAAUAGUAUCGUCUAAAAUCUAAAUAGCACUUAAUUAGACGGCGCAGAUGGAUUGUAAUCCAAAAUCUUUCACCAAAAGAGGGUAUUUCAUGCAAUUUGACUCUCAAGUGAUCUUAUUAAAUUACAAAAAACAACAAAAGAAAUCAAGGGCAAUCUAAUUAUCAAUGAUAACUAUCUCUAUCAAAUAUAAAGAUCUAAGGAAAAGUACAAAGCAGGAUUUAAAAGUACAUUCUAAUCAUUAAUUAAUUAUUAUAGAAGUUGCAAAUAUAUAUAUAUAUACUAUAUCUAUAGUAUAUAUAGAGUCGGUUAUGGUGCUUGUAAAGUACAAGUAUUUGGUGCUUGUAAAUUUUUACCGUUAGAUUUACGCCUUUGAUCGUUUUCACCGUUAGAUUAUACUAUUCAACCAACCACCCACUUAACCCUAGGAGCCCACAUCAUCUUAACUGCACAUUCCUUAAUCCAAGGGCUAAAAACUUACAAUAGGAGCUCAAUUAUAUAUAUAUAUAUAUAUAUAUAUAUUAUAAAUAUAUAUAUAUAUAUAUAUAUAUAGAGUCGGCUACUAUAUUAUCUAUAGUACGGAGCUCCCCUAUGACUAUAGUGAUGUUUUCGCAUCUAUCGGCAUUCAGAAUCAACGAUCCACACCGUUAAAACUGAUCUAGGGUAUUUAAAGUUUUUAGAAAUAAAAUUUUAUAUUUUUUCGACAUCGUUUACUUUAUGAUCAAAAUAUUUUAAAAUUGUCAAUUUUCAAUGGCUAUUAUGACGAGUUUGGAGUUUAACGGUGUAGAAGAAUCUAAAUUUCUUCAAAUUUUGAUAGAAAAUACUUUAAACUAUAUAGAUUAAGGUUAACAUUCUUGAUCUUGAAUUUAAAAGUUCUAUACUUAAAUUUUAAAGAGUAUUCAAUUCCCACCGUCCAUUUUGACAUAAUUUAUUUACUAAGUAAACGAUAUCGAAAAAAACUAAAAUUUUAUUCCUAAAAACUUCAUAUACCUUAAAUCAUAUUUAACGGUCUCGAUCGUUGAUUUGAAUGCCCUAAGAUCGAAAACAACACUAUAGUAUGGGAGCUCCCGUACUAUAGAUAGUAUAGUAGCCUAAUUCUAUAUAUAUAUAUAUAUAUAUAGUUUUAUUAGAUUUGCGUGACAAGAGCUGUACGGCAAAUGUGAGACCUAUUCAUAUCUUUGUUCAAGAAACAUAGAAACACAUGUCACAAAGUUAAUUAUAUAAAUUUAUAUAAAUAAGUAAGUUGGUUCAUAUAUGUAAUUAAGACAAAUUUCUUGUUUAAUUACACCUCAAAUAUGUCAUUAAAAAACAAACUAGAUCAGUAAAGUAAACGAAGGAAUUAAUCGCCAAUUUAAUUCCUUGAACACAAUCUCUUCUUCAUCAAAUUCUUUUAUUUUCAUUAUUUCUUGAUUAAAUGGAUUCCUCAUUCUUCAAGGUUGAUCACUAAUGUGCAUUUGUUUCCUAUUGGAUCCAGCUUUGUUAGCUAAACUCUUUUUAGUAUACGUUACUUGUGUACACAAAUCUAAGCAUGUAGAACUAAAAUUAAUGCACCUCAUUGUCAACAUUACCAAUCCAUUUCAUAUAUACACUACCGGCUAUUUAAAAGAACUUAGCUAAGAUGUUCUUUGUUCAUUAAUUAAAAGAACUUAACUAAGUUGUUCUUAAUUUGUUCAUUUAAUUUUCAUUUAAUGAGUACUUCUAGAUAUAAAAAACAACGUAUACUUUAAUUUGACUUAUCAUUUUUUAAAAAUAUUUCUGAUCAGUCGUAAGCUUUGCUAAUUUGAUUGGCCAUAAUUUGAUGAAAUGUUGUUUCAGAAGUGCUGUUGGAAGAAAUAAAAUGUAAAAUUUUUCUCUACAACUUUUGUUUUUUUGGCAAAAACAAACCUCCAAAUGGACCAAGCCAAAGCCUCCAUUUUAAAGCCAUAGAAUCAAAUUUCUAUUUUUUAUCACAGCAAAAAAUUUAGAUUUUUUAUAAGACAGAACAAGCAUUAAAUUGGUGUAAUUAAGUAAAAGGUACAAAUGUGGGACAAUUUCCCUCCACAUCUGCUAAGGCCUACUUUGAUACUACAAAUAACUAAAUAUACAUGCUUUCAAAUUUUAGAAUGCUAAGAAAAUAUCAAAACUGCUUACAAUCUUUUUUUUUUUUCUAACACUACAAAAAAUUACAAUGCACUACCAUCAUCGAAGUAUUAUACAAUCGCAACUUUAUAUUGUUGAAAGAGGAAAGAUAAAAAGCACUUUUAGGCCUUGUUUGGAUGCGCAGUAAAAAAAUUUCGUGGAGUUUAAAUAUCAUGAUUUUGCUCUAGCUAGCUAAAAUAGAAAAUUUUGUAAUUGAAAAAAAAUUUAUGAUCACUUUAAUUUUUAAACUGUUUGGAUUCACAUCGUACGAUUUCAUUGGAUUUAUGCAAAUUGAAAUUUGAAAAUUAAAAAUUGAAAAUUAAUUUUAGAUUUUAAAUUUUAGAACUUGCAUGAUACAGCGUUUGGUGUAAGGGAGCUCAAGAAUGAUGGAAUUUUCUUUCUUUGGUUAAAGUGGAUUGUAGUUUACUCUAUUUUUCGAAGUAUUAUUUAACUAUACUUUAAAAAUUAUGUUAUUUUUUUCUCCCAAACAUUUCACAGGAUAAUUUUUCUGCCGGUUUAGUAUAGUUUAACUAUACUAUAUUUUUAGAGGCAUUCAAACAUGGUCUUAAACUUUUUUUUUUUUUCUACCGGUAGAGUAAAGUUUAACUAUACUAUACUUUUAGAGGCAUUCAAACGCGGUCUUAAUCUUCUUUUUUUUUGAGAGAGAGAGAUAGAUAGUAUGCUAUCCGCUUCGUAUAUUUCAUUUAGAAAUAAACUUAGUUAGAAAUGUGAAUCAACUAGAAUUCAAACUUGGGACUUCAGAUACCAACCACUAAGUCCUUUGUCAAUUGCGCUAGGGACGGUCCGUAUGGUCUUAAUCUUAAUAUAUAUUGUCGGCUAGCUACUACAUACUAAAAGUAAAUAAAAUAAAAAGAAAAAAAAAAAAAGAUGAUACAAAAUGACAAUAUAGUAGUGAUGAGAGAUGGGGCCAAGUAAUCAAAUUGUGUGAUCCAACAACUGGGGGAGAUCCAUGAAUAAAACAGCGUUGGGAAUCGAAAAGAGAGGUCAAAGAAAGGAAAGUGGCCUUUCGCUGCGGGCAAACGGCUUGUCGGGGAAGCGGGGGGUGGUGCAGAAAUUGGAAAUAAUUUUAGGGGCUGCAUUUGCAUGCAUUUUUGCAUGGCUACAAUGGCUCGUCCCACCCACCGCGUACGGCCUUCUCUCAAAUUAAUAUUGACCCUUGCAGUGACCGAGAAGGUGCCGACUACUGACCGUCCAUAGCGCAAGUGGCAAAGUUAUACUUGAUGAUUGGUAUCCGAAAUUCCAAGUUCGAAUUCUAAUUGAUUCAUAUUUUUAGCUAAAUUUAUUUCUAAAAAAAAUAAACGAAGCAGAUAGUAUGCUACCUUUCUCUUCCAAAAAAAAGAAAAGAAAAGAAAAGUGCCGACUAAAAGGGACCGGCAGAAGAAUUAUCGAGCAUAUCUCAAAUCCAUACACGCCACACGAGGACAGUGAAAAUAGGAUCGAGAGAGUAAUCCAGCAUAUUUCAAAUCCACACACCACAUGAGCACGGCGAAAAUAAAAUCUUCCGUGAAUGAAAAUAAACGAGAACGAUCGUAGAAAACAAGUACGAUAAUAAUAAAAUAAUAAUACGGUCGAAUACAAAAACACAGAAUUUAUGUGAUUCGGCUAGCAAUAUAUCAACCUACAUACGUACGUCCAUGGGUAAAAUCAUCUCUCUUCCAUUAAUUCAUGACACAAAAAUAUAAAAAAUAAAAUCAGAUUAUAAGAAACUCUCUUCUAAAAGCUCUUCGCGUUUUACUUUUAACUAAGGCAUUUAUAAUGAAGCUUUAAACUCUAAAAGAUGAAUUACAAGAGUUUAUAGCCCUUAAACUCCAAUUCUAGUAUAAACGCUCGCCUCCGCCUAUCCGAGUUUCUAAUUCGCUUUUAGUUGUCAUUCUCCUAGCUAAAAAAUUCUCUCCAGAAUGUUUCUAAACUAUUCGUAAUCUUUAAAAAAUAAGAUUAGAUUAAAUUGGAGUCAAAUCCAAUAUAUCCAGCCCAUCACGUCACUCCGGUAUGGAAUACUUGGGAGUACGGGCACUGAAACUUUUCUAAAAUUUCAGUACUAGUACUCAUAGUCACAUAUCGAUACACGAUACAAAAAAUAGUUUUUCAUAACUUCGAAUUCUAAGGUACUCUUCAGUAUUGAUAUUAAAACUUCAAGUUUCGACACUAGGCAUCCAGAAAUCUUAAAUUUUUGACUUUUUCACCAUAUAAUAUCGACUCAAAAUAUAGCUAUACAUAAUCCAACACUUUAAGUGUCAUCUAACGCUAUUAUACAGAAAAAAUAAAUAAAUAAUCAAAACAAAAUCAUGUAAGACAUGAAUGCUACGGUACCAAAGUGUGGUUUUUUUUUUUUGCGUAAUCGGAAAGGUAGAAGUUUGAUUUUUGCUCCUUAAAAGUCUUGACGUUCAUGACUUUGUGUAAUAAUAUUUUUUUUCUAUAAAGUAAUUUAGUUUAUUUUGAAAAAAAUGACUUACAGGCCGAAUACUUUUCUCUUAUAAGCAUUUGACCAUAUUUCACGAUUUGUUUUAUCACAUUAUGCACCGAUUUAUUAGAUAUUUAUCAUGGAUGUGAGUAAUAGUAUUAAGGCUAUUUUCGAGCCUUAUAUGUUGAACAACCUAUGCAUUUACAAAGUCAUACUAGUAUGUACGGUUUACACGUCAAUUUGCAAUUCUUCGCAAAAAUAAGCAAAAUAUUUUUCUAUUGCACUUUCCUUUCGCGCCUUACGUACUUUUCGCAACUUGUUUUGGCCUCUUAGUCCUUUUUUUCUCUUUUAUUUGCAUUUACUUAUAUUUGAUAGUUGAGAAAUCCAAAAUAUCUGCUAUAAUUAAAAAGAAAUUAAAAAUGACAGUUAAUGCUCAAAGACAAAUUAAUAUUUAAAAUUUGGAGCUUCUAAUCUUUUUUGCAUAGAUGAUGAGAAGCUGUUGGGAAGAAUCUAACAUAUAAUGCUUCUCAAUCCUACUUCUAAAAGAGCACUUUAUGGAAUAUCAGGAGCAAUCAAACAAUUGUAUGAAUUGUACACCAAUCAAAUUUUGACCAUAUAACUUCAAAACUUUUAUAUAAUACUAUUAUUAUUAUUAUUAUUAUUAUUAUUAUUAUACUUUAAUCACUAAAAUAUCUUUAAUUAGUUUCUAUGUUAUAUUGUUAUCUCUCUAAUAUGUAUGGUGUGGAUAGUACAGAGGUACAUCCUGAUGAGUCUUGUGAGGCCACGUGUACACAUAUAUGACUGUUGUAGAAAAUUUCGAUUUUCUUUUUCAUUUUAGUUUUUGUGAUGGCAAUCUAAUGGGCAUUGCUGUCGUAAACGUCGUACAUUCUAAACUCUAAACCCUAAAUAAGAAAACAAAAUAGCUAUGACGAUCAAAUGCAGGCCCAUUUUUUUGAUCUGUAGUGCCACAAAAACCACCCAAAUUCCGACCAUUGAGAUCAUCCCCCGUGAGUUGAUUAAGACUUCCAAAUUCACACCCCUGCAAGAACUUCACUAAGGGGCAGUUUGGUUCGAAAUAAUUAUAAAUACAGAAUAGGUAGAUAUAUAUAUAUAUAUAUUAAAAAUAUAGUAAUUAUUAUUAUAUAUAUUUUUUAUUUGGUUGAAUGUAGCAGAAAAUAUUAUAAAUGUUUUGUUUGGUUCCAUAGGAUUGAGAAAUAUAUUUACAAAGUUUUAUCAUUUUAUCUUAUACAUGGAUGGCGAGGCGAGAUUACCCCCUACAUAAGGAAGAAGAAAAAAAAUCUUUUAAAAGAUUAUUAGAAAUGUAAAUUUAUUUUUGUUUAAAGUUACUUUUUUCAAAUACUGCAAUUAGAACUACUAUCAAUUUGAGUGUUCCGACUGCUAUAGUUGAAUCUCUUUGUGCAGUUGCAUUAAGAUACAGCAGAAUAAAUAAUAAAUUUAAAUUUAUAUGUAACUACAACUAUAAUAUAGGUACAAUAUUUAUGUGUAACCCAAAAACUCUAAAAUAGCACCAGAAAUUAGUGCAUCACAUGAAAAUUAAUGGUCUUUGCCCAUGGACUGUUUGCCAUUUUUGUCCCCAUGGACACAAUGAUCUUUUUGGCGAUUGGACCUAAUACCAACAUUCAAUCAAAUAACUAAAAAAGAAAAAAAAAAACCCAAAAGAAAUUUAGAAAGAAAGAAGCCAAAAAUGAAAAUGUGGCAGUGACACGGUAUGGUGCUCCUAACCAACCAAAUUGUAUUCCUAAGUUUCAUCUUUUCUAUCAUUCUAAUCAUAUAUUUUUUCAUCCAAUAUAUAUAGAACUAGGUUGGAAUGCUAUUAAUAGCACCAAAUUAUUGGUGCUAUUAGAUUUUCGGCCAUUGGAUGAAGAAAUGUACCGUUAGAAUGAUGUUGGCCCCUCAGAGUAGAGUGAGUUAUUGGUUUAAUAGUAUAAUCUAACGGAUAAAAAUAAUCAAAAGGUUAAAUCAAAUGGCGAAAAACUCAAUAGAACCAAACACUUGGUACUAUCGAUAGUAUCCCAAUCGGAUUAUAUAUAUAGAGAGAGAACUGGGCUGUUAUACUAUCUAUAGUACCAGAGUUUCAAUAUUAUAGUCUCGUUUUUUAUCUAAGUGUACGCAAAUCAAUGAUCCACAUAGUUAAAUAUAAUUUAGGGUAAAUAAAGUUUUUCAAAAUAAAAUUUUAAUUUUUUUCAACAUCGCUUACUUGAUAAGUAAAUUAUAUCAAAAUGAAUGGUAGAAAUUGAACAAUCAUUAAAAUUUGAAGAUAAGACUUUUAAUUCAAGAUCAAAAAUGCUGAUCUUAAUCUAUAUAGUUUAAAAUAUUUUCUAUCAAAAUUUGAAUAAAUUUAGAUUUUUCUGCACCGUUAAAAUACAAACUCCUCAUAGUAGCGAUUGAAAAUCAACGAUUUUGAAAUAAUUUAAUCAUAAAGUGAAUUAUGUCGAAAAAAUAUAAAAUUUUAUUUCUAAAAACUUAAAAUACUCUAAAUUAGUUUUAAUAGUGUGGAUCGUUAAUUUAAACAUCCAAAGAUCGAAAACGAGACUAUAGUACUGAAGUCUCUAUACUAUAAAUAUUAUAGUAACCUAGCUCUCUCUCUCUCUCUCUCUCUCUCUCUCUCUCUCUCUCUCUAUAUAUAUAUAUAUAUAUAUAUAGAGUUGGUCUGGGCUACUAUUAGUAGCAAAAUUCCAUUGUUGCUACUAAUUUUUUANAUAUUUCUGAAAAAAAAAAAAGAUUGGUUGAGGCAUAAAUAUUAUGGUGUCAGCUACUAUAAAGGAGACGACAUGAUGCAGUCAAUUUAACAUUAGAGUUUACGAAAAAAAUGUGACCUAGCCAAACUUAACAUUAGAGUUUAUGAAAAAAUGUGACCUAGCCAAACUGGACUAAGAAUCUCAUUGAGUUCAACAAUUUUUACAAAUAGAGUAGAAAAAAUUUUUAAAUGAUCAUAACUAUUCGCUUCAACAUCCGCUUUCAGCAUGCAAUCUCAAAUUGAAAAAUACUUUUCAAAAUCUAUGCGUCGAAAAAAAGGCCAUUAUGACUGAGUUUGGAUUCAAAUUUAAUUAACUGUUUAGACCUCUGUUUUUACAUUUCUAGAUUAUGUUUGAAAAGUUUUGUAUAUUUUCUAAUUUAAGUCUAACUAUUUGGUUAUUUCUGAUCAAUUUAAGUUUAAAAAUAUAUUAGAAUUUGUUAUCUUCGAUCACAGUAGAAUUCGAAUAUCGAUCUUAAUUAUAUAUAUGUGACAUUCUAUUAAUAUAAUUAGUAUUUUUCAGAGUUGAUUAAUAAUUUUUUUUUUGUCAAAUAAUUAUGUUUUUCGUGUCUCUCUUUCCGUCGAUACGCUUCGUCAUCUUAAUCACGCAACUUUUAGAUAUGCGUCACCACCUAAUGAAAAGGAAAAAAAAAAAAGUGUCGAGGAUCUCUGUACUAUUUCUAUACGAAAUUUAGUCCCAGAAUUUAGGUCUUGUUUGGUGUCAACGUAUAUAAAUAUUCUAUAAAAUGGUGGAGGAGUGGACUUUAAUAACUAGAUUCAUUGGAUUAAAAAUAUUUGCCAAACAAAAACUUAGUUAAUAAAUUUUCAGAUACAUUGCAUUUUACUUUCUGAACACAAUUUUUUUGUGAUAUACUUAAAUGAGUUAAUCAUUAUAUAUGGUAGAAUAGUAAAGCUUUUAUUGUAUAUUGAAAAAUAAAUUUGUUCAUGACAUGCAUGAACAUAACAAAACCUUAAUUUGCAUAAAUACAGUAUUUAGAUACAUGGAUAUCAUUUUAUGUCUAUUUUUAGUUAUUUAAAAACUUUAUAAUAUUUAGUAGAUGAGUGUGGUCAAAUUGCUAGAAAGGUUUAUUAUUUAAUUAUUUCGAUACAUGAAUAUCUAUGCUUGUAUUUGUUUUACUUAUUUAUGAACUUUAUAAUAUUUAGUAGAUGAAUAUGGUCAAAUUGUUAGAAAGGUAUAUUAUAUUAAGGUUUCGAAUCACUUGCUUGGAAUAAGAUAAAUCAUCUUACAGAUAAAAUUUAUUGUGCUACUAAAUUAUGGAUGUCAAGACCUUCUAGAAAGCUAAAAAUCAAACUCAUGGCUUGCUUUUUCAUAUACUAUUUUUCGACGUUGGAAUAAGCUACCUAAUAAUAAAUUAUUCAGUAUAAAAAAAUAUUUCUUUAUGAUUGAAAGUUAGAAGUUUGAAGUUUACUUGUUGAAAGAUAUUAACAUUCAUGAUUUGAGAGAAUAACAUACUUCACAUGCUAGUAAUUUAUCUCGAGCUAGAAAAAUAAUUUGGAGAUCGGAUAUGAUAUUCCAAUUUAGAUAUUUAAUCGCAUUUCCCAUUUUCCAAAUACUAGUGCCCUAUUUGGAUGCACGAGCAUUUUAUUCGGCAUAUCAUUAUCGAUUUACUCAAAAAACAUAUAAUAUUAGACAGAUGAUGAGUAUAAUUAAAUAGGCUAAAUUAUAGAAAACCCUCCUAUUCAUACCCGCUUUUUCACUUUCCCUCCCGUCAUUUAAAAAUCUACACUUUGCCCUCUUAUAAAAUAAAAAAUGUUUACUUCACUCUCUGCCGUUAGUGCUCCGUUAGGAUUCCGUUUAUAAAAUAUUAUUAUAUAUUUUUUAUACCAAAAAUACCCUCAACCUCCUUUCCUGCCGCCUUGCCCUCCUCCGCUGUCUCGCCCUUGCCCACAUCUCCGUCCACGCCCACAAACACCCCCUCGCCCUCCUCCGCCGCUUCGCCUUCGCCCUCGUUGCCCAUACCCACCUCUCUAUCCACGCCCAAUUCGAUUUCCUCCCUACUGUUGCCGGAAAGGAGGGGCGACAAGGAUGGAUGAGGAGAAGGGGAGCAGGUGGAGAAGAAAAUUGAGAGAACCGCUGCCGAUUGAGGCGCGAACUGCAGCCAAUCGAGACGGCGGAUGAGCGAGAUGAGAGAGGAGACGAAAAUUAUGAGAAGCAAAUUGGUCAUUUUGUCAUCACAAUUCACACCGUACGCCUCUGUGAAUAAUUUUUAUUUUAUAAGGGGCAAAGUAUAGGUUUUUAAAUGACAGGGAAAAAAUAAACAAGUGGAUAUUGACAGAAAAAUUUUAUGUAAUUUAGCCAAUUAAAUAUCUAGAAUAUACACUAUAUUUAGUCUUUAAGUUGAUUUUUGAAAUAAAAUAAAUCACAUCGUAAAAAAAAUAUAUUAUCCUACCAAUUAAUGGAUGUAAUGAUUUUUUUUAGCAGCAAAAAUCAAAUUCCUACAUAUUCCUACAUUCUAAUCACACAAAAAAAAUUAAACCGAAUAAGUUAUAUUCUGGCAUUCACGCAGAGACUAUAAACUUUCUAAGUAAAUAAAAAAAUAUAUAUUAAACAAAAUAUUCAUACAUAUUGUGACAUUCAAACAAGCCUAUAAAAAUAAGUAAAAAUGCAUAAAACUUAUGUAAACUUUUGGUCAUUUUGAAUUAGUUACCCAACCUUUCAAAAUUUGGUUUCACUAUCCAAUUUUUUAAUUAGUUUGAUUUGAAUGGCACUUUUAACUUCAAAAUUUAUGUUAAUUAUUAUUUAUUUUAAUGAAUAAAUAGUUACAAAAAUUAUAUGAAAUAUCCUAAUUAAACCUGCAAAAGUAAACAAAAAAAUUUAAAUUUUAAAGUCAAAGUGUCAUUGACCGACUCAAAGUAAAUAAAUUGAAAGAUUCAGGAAUAUUGGAGCCAUGGUGACGCCCACAGUGCCCUCACCCCUUCCCCUCAACUUUUAAAAAUUACAUAUAAGCCUUUUAUAGUAAAAAUUAAAAUAUUACAAAUUUUAGUUUUAGGAGGGGCCAAAUUAUUUUUUUUAUAUAAUAAAACGUUUGUCCCAAUCUUUUCCGAACUCCUCGACCUUUUUUCUUCGGCUUUUAUAGUCUUGCAUCUCCUUAAACCUAUUAUCGCUACAAUGGCUAGCAAUAGAUGGCCAGUAAAUCUGCCAACCUUUUUUUUCUUAUUUUUUUUCUACCAAACUUAAAUCCUUACAUUUUUUAACCUUAUAUAAUUUAUGCAGGGACAAAACCAUAGUUCAAUCAGGAGAGAGGCCAAAAUAUGUACAAAUAAAAAUUUUAACAGAUAAAUAAGAUUUUAGCUACUCAAAUUUUAAAUAAAAAAAAUUUAAUGAUUAGAUAAUUAAUGUUGAAAAAUAUUAAAUUUAUUUCUUUAAUUUACACUCGCUUAACUUCUAAUUAUUUUAUUGUAGUAUUCCAUUCAAAUAACUUAAAAAUUUUACUAAAUCUAAUAAUUUAGUUAGAAUUUUUUUUUCAAAUCUAAUAAUUUAGUUAGAAUUUAUUUUUUUAAAAUAUUUGUUAGUAAAAUAAUAACAAGCAAUGACUAAUAUCUAAGCUAUUAAAGUUAGCAUACUAUUUUAUUUAGUUAAAUAAAUUAGCUCAUCAAAAAUAAUUAGAAAAUUUAGAAUGUAUAAAUAAAAUAUUUAAAGUUGAAAGGACUUAUUUCAAAAUAUACUAUAAUUAAGAGGUUCGUAUAUUUUCAGCUAUAAAACACAUAAGAAGAGAGAGAGAGCUUUAUACUAGUACUAAAACCUGUUACGACAAGCGCACAAACGGAAACGAAAAUGACGAAAAAAAAUAAACAAACCACAAAAAAAAAAAAAAAAAAAAAAA